UGCUCCCUGAGAUCAGCGGCGGACGGGUGAGUAACACGUGGGUAACCUGCCUGUAAGACUGGGAUAACUCCGGGAAACCGGGGCUAAUACCGGAUAAUUUAGUUCCUCGCAUGAGGAACUGUUGAAAGGUGGCUUCGGCUACCACUUACAGAUGGACCCGCGGCGCAUUACCUAGUUGGUGACGUAACGGCUCACCAAGGCAACGAUGCAUAGCCGACCUGAGAGGGUGAUCGGCCACACUGGGACUGAAACACGGCCCAUACUCCUACGGGAGGCAGCAGUAGGGAAUCUUCCGCAAUGGACCAAAGUCUGACGGACCAACACCGCGUGAGUGAAAAAGGUUUUCGGAUCGUAAAACUCUGUUGUUAGGGAACAACAAGUGCCGUUCGAAUAGGGCGGCACCUUGACGGUACCUAACCAGAAAGCCACGGCUAACUACGUGCCAGCAGCCGCGGUAAUACAUAGGUGGCAAGCGUUGUCCGGAAUUAUUGGGCGUAAAGCGCGCCCAGGUGGUUUCUUAAGUCUGAUGUGAAAGCCCACGGCUCAACCGUGGAGGGUCAUUGGAAACUGGGGAACUUGAGUGCAUAAGAAGAAAGUGGAAUUCCAAGUGUAGCGGUGAAAUGCAUAUAUGUUUGGAGGAACACCAGUGGCGAAGGCGACUUUCUGGUCUGUAACUGACACUGAGGCGCGAAAGCGUGGGGAGCAAACAGGAUUAUAUACCCUGGUAGUCCACGCCGUAAACGAUGACU
RNAcentral lists this ribosomal RNA (749 nucleotides) under bacterium CanalPS24. RNAcentral describes it as "bacterial SSU rRNA". It matches the Rfam family "Bacterial small subunit ribosomal RNA", at positions 80 to 814 of the family's 1533-position model. The record is from RNAcentral.